RNAcentral lists this long non-coding RNA (2035 nucleotides) under Homo sapiens (human). RNAcentral describes it as "HSALNT0311136". Lineage: Eukaryota; Metazoa; Chordata; Mammalia; Primates; Hominidae. The record is from RNAcentral.
GGCCCGUUCAUGUAAAUCAUCUCGAAUGGUCUCACCUUCAUUAGUGACUGCUAUAGUUAUAUUAGAACAAAUCUCCAAAGCUGUUAAAAUUCAGAUGGUACCAGGGACCCAAACAGCUGUUAUACAUGCUAUUAAAAAGUUUCAGUUGCCCCUGAACACAUUGUUUCAGUGUCUGUUUUUUUCUAAGUCUCUGGAGAAUUUGGAGAGAACAAGAAUCUCUUUCUAGAACACAUAACUCAGGGAAUAAUGGAGACAGAGAACUUGAUAACAGACCAAUAUUAAAUGUCUUUAAUUUCAUCUUGAUAAUUUCUAGCUGGAAAAAUUGUGUUGGUUUUCUUCUUGAGAUUAGGUUUGUUUCAUCAUAUUUGUCAGAGACUGCCAUGAGGAGAUACUUUUUCUUUCAUUUUUUAUGUGGCUGGAUGGUACCCUCCUCUUCGCACCCCUGCCACCAGCCUGCCCUUCUUUGGGAGGUAAGGAGAGCUUUUACAAGGUAACUCAGGCCUAAGAAGCAGACAGACAUUCUGCACUCAAAUCCCACAUGAAUAAUAGCCUCUUCCCUCCUCCUCUACCUCACAAUAUGGAACAUCUCCUCUUUUAAGUCAGCAACAACAGUGAAAACAGGUAGGGACUGUCCAUCCCUGCCGGAGGCCACAACCAAGAGAAGUGGCACCGAGGUGGGAAGAGAAAGGAGGCUUAACGCACAGAAAGAGAGAAAAAAAAAAAGAGUGAAGGUGAGGGUCUGGGAGGUACUCUCUCUCUCCUGAGGUGAUGGCUACCUCGGCCUCCAUGGGAAGUUAGGCAUGAGAUCCUGUGUCAGAGGAGAUGCUUUUGCACCAAGGAAUAGAAACACUUGACACAAACAGUUAAGGGAGAAGGAGGCAUUAUUUCCCACAGACGCAGUCUCUGAUGUAUUUGUGAUGGCUCUGGUUUCCUCAGAAUUUCAGUUUAUGCCUUCCUCAAUGCGUGGGCUUUGUCAUCAGGCUGGCAGCUUGGUGACAUCAGUAGUUCCAGGUUAUCUUGCCACCACAGCACCAGAGAGAAGGACUGUCUGUCUUGUGGCUUUCUCUUUACAUGGAGAAGACUUUUCUUUGAAUCCCAGGAGACUUUCAUUAUUUCUUGUUGGCUAGAAUUAGGUUAUAUGCCAUUCUUUAAUCACUGACUAGUAAAGGAUGGAAUUACCGUGAUAGUCUUACACUAAUUAUUUGGAGCAAAUUGAAUAUUGGAGAAUCAGUCAUCAUGAUACUAAAGUUACCAUAUCUGUGAUGGUACAAGAUGGUUAUUUCUUAUCUUACUAUCUCUUGUAUAUUAUCAAUUAGAUGGUUUAAUUUUGUCUAGAUAUUUAAAGUACUUGAAAACUGGUAUGUAAUAUAAGAGUUGAAAAUAAAUAUAUUCCUCUUCUAUAAUUAAACUAUAUAUAUGACGUCUAAAUUAUAUCUACAUAUACUGCAUAUAUUUUAUAUUACUAUUGUGUUACAUAUUAUGCUAUAUUAUGUUUUUAUUGUGGUUAUACUAUGUAUAAACUAAACAUUAUAUGUUUUAAAAACUUAUUUCAAAGUGCCAUAUGUUCUAACAGAAAUCCUUUGUCACAUCAAUAUAAUUUCCUAGUUGCUUGUUGGUUUUUGGAAAUUGCCAGUAUGCUUUUUUGGUUGAUGCAGCAUUCACUAGCUAAAUGGCACCCUGUCAGAACCAUGGCUUGCCAGUUGCAUCAAAUGCUUCUGACACACUUCCCCUUCCCACCCUUGAUUGUCAUUAGAAGACUGAGAUUCUUGACAGAACCUGAAUGGGGUUUGUGUCUUUGCCCCCAUCUUAGCAUUGAGCUUUCUGAUGAUCUCUAGGCCUCCAUUCUUUCUAUCUUCUCUUCCCCCCACAGUUGGUCAGAUUGGUACCAUCCAUGUUCUGGCCUCAUAUCAGCUGCUUCUUUGAGGGCAGGGAUCAAAAGGAAUUGCCAUACGUAGAGGGAAGGAGGCAGGGGAAAGGAAUAGCCAGGGAGGGGCAAAUUGGCUUCUCCUGGUUGUUGCAGGAGCCAGGAUCUGGC